Molecule: ribosomal RNA, 151 nt
Filed under: uncultured fungus
Lineage: Eukaryota; Fungi
Description: partial 5.8S ribosomal RNA
Rfam family: 5.8S ribosomal RNA
About the family: 5.8S ribosomal RNA (5.8S rRNA) is a component of the large subunit of the eukaryotic ribosome. It is transcribed by RNA polymerase I as part of the 45S precursor that also contains 18S and 28S rRNA.
Source: RNAcentral
AAGUUUCAACAACGGAUCUCUUGGUCUCGCAUCGAUGAAGAACGCAGCGAAAUGCGAUAAGUAAUGUGAAUUGCAGAAUUCAGUGAAUCAUCGAAUCUUUGAACGCACCUUGGGCUCCUUGGAUUCCUCGGAGCAUGCCUGUUGAGUAUCU